UCUUCAUUUCACGUACUCUCUCAUCGGUCAGAGUGACGAGAGAGCACGCUGAAUGAAGAAA
RNAcentral lists this microRNA precursor (61 nucleotides) under Pristionchus pacificus. RNAcentral describes it as "mir-8364 microRNA precursor family". It matches the Rfam family "mir-8364 microRNA precursor family". The record is from Rfam by way of RNAcentral. Lineage: Eukaryota; Metazoa; Nematoda; Chromadorea; Rhabditida; Neodiplogasteridae.